ACUCAAUUCUUUGAGGCAGACCGAACCUGGAAAAGACAUGGUUAAUCAACAAAGUGGCGCACACGGUACUCGUGUUCUCUUUACAAGGCAAACAUUCUAUCCAUUUUGUGUACAUACAUGUAACGGUUAACAUGUAUUUGUUACCUCUUGAAGAUCUUGUUACAGGACCUAUAAAGUCAAUUUGAAUAUCAGACCAGGGUAAUG
Molecule: non-coding RNA, 204 nt
Organism: Pelobates cultripes (western spadefoot toad)
Lineage: Eukaryota; Metazoa; Chordata; Amphibia; Anura; Pelobatidae
Source: the annotation of a GenBank genome assembly